UCUUUUAAAGUAAAAUUUACAUUUAAUUUCGACUUAAAAAUUGAUUACCAAAAUCUAAAAGAA
RNAcentral lists this transfer RNA (63 nucleotides) under Lasius spathepus. RNAcentral describes it as "tRNA-Arg". Lineage: Eukaryota; Metazoa; Arthropoda; Insecta; Hymenoptera; Formicidae. The record is from RNAcentral.